RNAcentral lists this ribosomal RNA (253 nucleotides) under uncultured bacterium. RNAcentral describes it as "partial 16S ribosomal RNA". It matches the Rfam family "Bacterial small subunit ribosomal RNA", at positions 524 to 776 of the family's 1533-position model. The record is from RNAcentral.
UACGGGGGGUGCGAGCGUUGUCCGGAAUCACUGGGCGUAAAGGGCGCGUAGGUGGCUUUGUAAGUUUGCGGUGAAAGCCCGGGGCUCAACCCCGGGUCUGCCGUGGAUACUGCAAGGCUUGAGUACUGUAGAGGCAGGUAGAAUAUCGGGUGUAGCGGUGGAAUGCGUAGAUAUCGGAAGGAACACCUGUGGCGAAAGCGGCUCACUGGACCAUUACUGACGCUGAGGCACGAAAGCUAGGGGAGCAAACAGG